Molecule: non-coding RNA, 321 nt
Organism: Danio rerio (zebrafish)
Lineage: Eukaryota; Metazoa; Chordata; Actinopteri; Cypriniformes; Danionidae
Source: RefSeq, a predicted model, not a curated record
AGAUGCAGAAACUUUUGACAUAUGAAUUCAUCUUGACUAAGGAACUCUUCACAGCACUGCACCUGAACAGUCACAACCUCACAGAGCUGCACAACUGCCCCACUCAAGAUCAGUGUUGAAGCUGGAACCUCAUAUUUUGUACAGCAAAGGCAGAGCUGAAAAUUCACUGUUUGUCUUGUAUUGUGUGUGGCAAAACCUGGAAUAACACAUGGGAGCCCUCCAGGAAUUGGACACUUUACGCCCAAGUCUCCUCAUGCUAACCGGAUUGCAAUAUGACAGUCUAGUCAGCAUAAACACCUGGACUCGCCAAGCACACUUUGG